GCCAGCCCGCUCAGAAACUUAAAGGAAUUGACGGGGCCCGCACAAGCGGAGGAGCAUGUGGUUAAUUCGAUGAUACGCGAGGAACCUUACCUGGGCUCGAACGUAAGAUGACUGUAGGUGAAAGCUUACAUCUCUUCGGAGCAUUUUACGAGGUGCUGCAUGGCUGUCGUCAGCUCGUGUCGUGAGAUGUUGGGUUAAGUCCCGCAACGAGCGCAACCCUUGCCUUUAGUUGCCAGCAGUUCGGCUGGGCACUCUAAAGGGACUGCCGGUGUUAAACCGGAGGAAGGUGGGGAUGACGUCAAGUCCUCAUGGCCUUUAUGACCAGGGCUACACACGUACUACAAUGGCCGAUACAAAGGGCAGCGACACUGCGAGGUGAAGCCAAUCCCGUAAAAUCGGUCUCAGUCCGGAUUGGAGUCUGCAACUCGACUCCAUGAAGUUGGAAUCGCUAGUAAUCGUGGAUCAGCAUGCCACGGUGAAUACGUUCCCGGGCCUU
RNAcentral lists this ribosomal RNA (496 nucleotides) under uncultured Desulfobulbus sp. Its description in RNAcentral is "bacterial SSU rRNA". It matches the Rfam family "Bacterial small subunit ribosomal RNA", at positions 903 to 1382 of the family's 1533-position model. The record is from RNAcentral. Lineage: Bacteria; Pseudomonadati; Thermodesulfobacteriota; Desulfobulbia; Desulfobulbales; Desulfobulbaceae.